RNAcentral lists this ribosomal RNA (2892 nucleotides) under Escherichia coli. Its description in RNAcentral is "bacterial LSU rRNA". It matches the Rfam family "Bacterial large subunit ribosomal RNA". Lineage: Bacteria; Pseudomonadati; Pseudomonadota; Gammaproteobacteria; Enterobacterales; Enterobacteriaceae. The record is from RNAcentral.
UUAAGCGACUAAGCGUACACGGUGGAUGCCCUGGCAGUCAGAGGCGAUGAAGGACGUGCUAAUCUGCGAUAAGCGUCGGUAAGGUGAUAUGAACCGUUAUAACCGGCGAUUUCCGAAUGGGGAAACCCAGUGUGUUUCGACACACUAUCAUUAACUGAAUCCAUAGGUUAAUGAGGCGAACCGGGGGAACUGAAACAUCUAAGUACCCCGAGGAAAAGAAAUCAACCGAGAUUCCCCCAGUAGCGGCGAGCGAACGGGGAGCAGCCCAGAGCCUGAAUCAGUGUGUGUGUUAGUGGAAGCGUCUGGAAAGGCGCGCGAUACAGGGUGACAGCCCCGUACACAAAAAUGCACAUGCUGUGAGCUCGAUGAGUAGGGCGGGACACGUGGUAUCCUGUCUGAAUAUGGGGGGACCAUCCUCCAAGGCUAAAUACUCCUGACUGACCGAUAGUGAACCAGUACCGUGAGGGAAAGGCGAAAAGAACCCCGGCGAGGGGAGUGAAAAAGAACCUGAAACCGUGUACGUACAAGCAGUGGGAGCACGCUUAGGCGUGUGACUGCGUACCUUUUGUAUAAUGGGUCAGCGACUUAUAUUCUGUAGCAAGGUUAACCGAAUAGGGGAGCCGAAGGGAAACCGAGUCUUAACUGGGCGUUAAGUUGCAGGGUAUAGACCCGAAACCCGGUGAUCUAGCCAUGGGCAGGUUGAAGGUUGGGUAACACUAACUGGAGGACCGAACCGACUAAUGUUGAAAAAUUAGCGGAUGACUUGUGGCUGGGGGUGAAAGGCCAAUCAAACCGGGAGAUAGCUGGUUCUCCCCGAAAGCUAUUUAGGUAGCGCCUCGUGAAUUCAUCUCCGGGGGUAGAGCACUGUUUCGGCAAGGGGGUCAUCCCGACUUACCAACCCGAUGCAAACUGCGAAUACCGGAGAAUGUUAUCACGGGAGACACACGGCGGGUGCUAACGUCCGUCGUGAAGAGGGAAACAACCCAGACCGCCAGCUAAGGUCCCAAAGUCAUGGUUAAGUGGGAAACGAUGUGGGAAGGCCCAGACAGCCAGGAUGUUGGCUUAGAAGCAGCCAUCAUUUAAAGAAAGCGUAAUAGCUCACUGGUCGAGUCGGCCUGCGCGGAAGAUGUAACGGGGCUAAACCAUGCACCGAAGCUGCGGCAGCGACGCUUAUGCGUUGUUGGGUAGGGGAGCGUUCUGUAAGCCUGUGAAGGUGUGCUGUGAGGCAUGCUGGAGGUAUCAGAAGUGCGAAUGCUGACAUAAGUAACGAUAAAGCGGGUGAAAAGCCCGCUCGCCGGAAGACCAAGGGUUCCUGUCCAACGUUAAUCGGGGCAGGGUGAGUCGACCCCUAAGGCGAGGCCGAAAGGCGUAGUCGAUGGGAAACAGGUUAAUAUUCCUGUACUUGGUGUUACUGCGAAGGGGGGACGGAGAAGGCUAUGUUGGCCGGGCGACGGUUGUCCCGGUUUAAGCGUGUAGGCUGGUUUUCCAGGCAAAUCCGGAAAAUCAAGGCUGAGGCGUGAUGACGAGGCACUACGGUGCUGAAGCAACAAAUGCCCUGCUUCCAGGAAAAGCCUCUAAGCAUCAGGUAACAUCAAAUCGUACCCCAAACCGACACAGGUGGUCAGGUAGAGAAUACCAAGGCGCUUGAGAGAACUCGGGUGAAGGAACUAGGCAAAAUGGUGCCGUAACUUCGGGAGAAGGCACGCUGAUAUGUAGGUGAAGUCCCUCGCGGAUGGAGCUGAAAUCAGUCGAAGAUACCAGCUGGCUGCAACUGUUUAUUAAAAACACAGCACUGUGCAAACACGAAAGUGGACGUAUACGGUGUGACGCCUGCCCGGUGCCGGAAGGUUAAUUGAUGGGGUCAGCGCAAGCGAAGCUCUUGAUCGAAGCCCCGGUAAACGGCGGCCGUAACUAUAACGGUCCUAAGGUAGCGAAAUUCCUUGUCGGGUAAGUUCCGACCUGCACGAAUGGCGUAAUGAUGGCCAGGCUGUCUCCACCCGAGACUCAGUGAAAUUGAACUCGCUGUGAAGAUGCAGUGUACCCGCGGCAAGACGGAAAGACCCCGUGAACCUUUACUAUAGCUUGACACUGAACAUUGAGCCUUGAUGUGUAGGAUAGGUGGGAGGCUUAGAAGUGUGGACGCCAGUCUGCAUGGAGCCGACCUUGAAAUACCACCCUUUAAUGUUUGAUGUUCUAACGUUGACCCGUAAUCCGGGUUGCGGACAGUGUCUGGUGGGUAGUUUGACUGGGGCGGUCUCCUCCUAAAGAGUAACGGAGGAGCACGAAGGUUGGCUAAUCCUGGUCGGACAUCAGGAGGUUAGUGCAAUGGCAUAAGCCAGCUUGACUGCGAGCGUGACGGCGCGAGCAGGUGCGAAAGCAGGUCAUAGUGAUCCGGUGGUUCUGAAUGGAAGGGCCAUCGCUCAACGGAUAAAAGGUACUCCGGGGAUAACAGGCUGAUACCGCCCAAGAGUUCAUAUCGACGGCGGUGUUUGGCACCUCGAUGUCGGCUCAUCACAUCCUGGGGCUGAAGUAGGUCCCAAGGGUAUGGCUGUUCGCCAUUUAAAGUGGUACGCGAGCUGGGUUUAGAACGUCGUGAGACAGUUCGGUCCCUAUCUGCCGUGGGCGCUGGAGAACUGAGGGGGGCUGCUCCUAGUACGAGAGGACCGGAGUGGACGCAUCACUGGUGUUCGGGUUGUCAUGCCAAUGGCACUGCCCGGUAGCUAAAUGCGGAAGAGAUAAGUGCUGAAAGCAUCUAAGCACGAAACUUGCCCCGAGAUGAGUUCUCCCUGACCCUUUAAGGGUCCUGAAGGAACGUUGAAGACGACGACGUUGAUAGGCCGGGUGUGUAAGCGCAGCGAUGCGUUGAGCUAACCGGUACUAAUGAACCGUGAG